GACGAACGCUGGCGGCGUGCUUAACACAUGCAAGUCGAACGGAAAGGCCCUGCUUGCAGGGUACUCGAGUGGCGAACGGGUGAGUAACACGUGGGUGAUCUGCCCUGCACUUCGGGAUAAGCUUGGGAAACUGGGUCUAAUACCGGAUAGGAGCCAUCUUUAGUGUGGUGGUUGGAAAGUUUUUUCGGUGUAGGAUGAGCUCGCGGCCUAUCAGCUUGUUGGUGGGGUAAUGGCCUACCAAGGCGGCGACGGGUAGCCGGCCUGAGAGGGUGUACGGCCACAUUGGGAAUGAGAUACGGCCCAGACUCCUACGGGAGGCAGCAGUGGGGAAUAUUGCACAAUGGGCGCAAGCCUGAGGCAGCGACGCCGCGUGGGGGAUGAAGGCCUUCGGGUUGUAAACUCCUUUCGCUAGGGACGAAGCUUUGUUGUGACGGUACCUAGAUAAGAAGCACCGGCUAACUACGUG
This 466-nucleotide ribosomal RNA is filed under the name uncultured bacterium. RNAcentral describes it as "partial 16S ribosomal RNA". It matches the Rfam family "Bacterial small subunit ribosomal RNA", at positions 28 to 507 of the family's 1533-position model. The record is from RNAcentral.